This 447-nucleotide ribosomal RNA is filed under the name uncultured bacterium. RNAcentral's name for it is "partial 16S ribosomal RNA". It matches the Rfam family "Bacterial small subunit ribosomal RNA", at positions 29 to 523 of the family's 1533-position model. The record is from RNAcentral.
AACGAACGCUGGCGGCAGGCCUAACACAUGCAAGUCGAACGCAUCGCAAGAUGAGUGGCGCACGGGUGAGUAACACGUGGGAAUGUAUCCUUUGGUUCGGAAUAACGUCUGGAAACGGACGCUAAUACCGGAUGAGCCCUUAGGGGGAAAGAUUUAUCGCCGAAGGAGCAGCCCGCGUCUGAUUAGGUAGUUGGUGGGGUAAAGGCCUACCAAGCCGACGAUCAGUAGCUGGUCUGAGAGGAUGAUCAGCCAGACUGGGACUGAGACACGGCCCAGACUCCUACGGGAGGCAGCAGUAGGGAAUUUUCCACAAUGGGCGAAAGCCUGAUGGAGCAACGCCGCGUGCAGGAUGAAGGCCCUUGGGUCGUAAACUGCUUUUAUCUGUGACGAUUUUGACGGUAGCAGAUGAAUAAGGAUCGGCUAACUCCGUGCCAGCAGCCGCCGUAA